This 253-nucleotide ribosomal RNA is filed under the name uncultured bacterium. RNAcentral's name for it is "partial 16S ribosomal RNA". It matches the Rfam family "Bacterial small subunit ribosomal RNA", at positions 524 to 776 of the family's 1533-position model. The record is from RNAcentral.
UACGAAGGGGGCUAGCGUUGCUCGGAAUCACUGGGCGUAAAGCGCACGUAGGCGGACUCUUAAGUCGGUGGUGAAAUCCUGGAGCUCAACUCCAGAACUGCCUUCGAUACUGGGAGUCUCGAGUCCGGGAGAGGUGAGUGGAACUGCGAGUGUAGAGGUGAAAUUCGUAGAUAUUCGCAAGAACACCAGUGGCGAAGGCGGCUCACUGGCCCGGUACUGACGCUGAGGUGCGAAAGCGUGGGGAGCAAGCAGG